UUAAGCGACUAAGCGUACACGGUGGAUGCCCUGGCAGUCAGAGGCGAUGAAGGACGUGCUAAUCUGCGAUAAGCGUCGGUAAGGUGAUAUGAACCGUUAUAACCGGCGAUUUCCGAAUGGGGAAACCCAGUGUGAUUCGUCACACUAUCAUUAACUGAAUCCAUAGGUUAAUGAGGCGAACCGGGGGAACUGAAACAUCUAAGUACCCCGAGGAAAAGAAAUCAACCGAGAUUCCCCCAGUAGCGGCGAGCGAACGGGGAGCAGCCCAGAGCCUGAAUCAGUGUGUGUGUUAGUGGAAGCGUCUGGAAAGGCGCGCGAUACAGGGUGACAGCCCCGUACACAAAAAUGCACAUACUGUGAGCUCGAUGAGUAGGGCGGGACACGUGGUAUCCUGUCUGAAUAUGGGGGGACCAUCCUCCAAGGCUAAAUACUCCUGACUGACCGAUAGUGAACCAGUACCGUGAGGGAAAGGCGAAAAGAACCCCGGCGAGGGGAGUGAAAAAGAACCUGAAACCGUGUACGUACAAGCAGUGGGAGCACGCUUAGGCGUGUGACUGCGUACCUUUUGUAUAAUGGGUCAGCGACUUAUAUUCUGUAGCAAGGUUAACCGAAUAGGGGAGCCGAAGGGAAACCGAGUCUUAACUGGGCGUUAAGUUGCAGGGUAUAGACCCGAAACCCGGUGAUCUAGCCAUGGGCAGGUUGAAGGUUGGGUAACACUAACUGGAGGACCGAACCGACUAAUGUUGAAAAAUUAGCGGAUGACUUGUGGCUGGGGGUGAAAGGCCAAUCAAACCGGGAGAUAGCUGGUUCUCCCCGAAAGCUAUUUAGGUAGCGCCUCGUGAAUUCAUCUCCGGGGGUAGAGCACUGUUUCGGCAAGGGGGUCAUCCCGACUUACCAACCCGAUGCAAACUGCGAAUACCGGAGAAUGUUAUCACGGGAGACACACGGCGGGUGCUAACGUCCGUCGUGAAGAGGGAAACAACCCAGACCGCCAGCUAAGGUCCCAAAGUCAUGGUUAAGUGGGAAACGAUGUGGGAAGGCCCAGACAGCCAGGAUGUUGGCUUAGAAGCAGCCAUCAUUUAAAGAAAGCGUAAUAGCUCACUGGUCGAGUCGGCCUGCGCGGAAGAUGUAACGGGGCUAAACCAUGCACCGAAGCUGCGGCAGCGACGCUGAUGCGUUGUUGGGUAGGGGAGCGUUCUGUAAGCCUGCGAAGGUGUGCUGUGAGGCAUGCUGGAGGUAUCAGAAGUGCGAAUGCUGACAUAAGUAACGAUAAAGCGGGUGAAAAGCCCGCUCGCCGGAAGACCAAGGGUUCCUGUCCAACGUUAAUCGGGGCAGGGUGAGUCGACCCCUAAGGCGAGGCCGAAAGGCGUAGUCGAUGGGAAACAGGUUAAUAUUCCUGUACUUGGUGUUACUGCGAAGGGGGGACGGAGAAGGCUAUGUUGGCCGGGCGACGGUUGUCCCGGUUUAAGCGUGUAGGCUGGUUUUCCAGGCAAAUCCGGAAAAUCAAGGCUGAGGCGUGAUGACGAGGCACUACGGUGCUGAAGCAACAAAUGCCCUGCUUCCAGGAAAAGCCUCUAAGCAUCAGGUAACAUCAAAUCGUACCCCAAACCGACACAGGUGGUCAGGUAGAGAAUACCAAGGCGCUUGAGAGAACUCGGGUGAAGGAACUAGGCAAAAUGGUGCCGUAACUUCGGGAGAAGGCACGCUGAUAUGUAGGUGAGGUCCCUCGCGGAUGGAGCUGAAAUCAGUCGAAGAUACCAGCUGGCUGCAACUGUUUAUUAAAAACACAGCACUGUGCAAACACGAAAGUGGACGUAUACGGUGUGACGCCUGCCCGGUGCCGGAAGGUUAAUUGAUGGGGUCAGCGCAAGCGAAGCUCUUGAUCGAAGCCCCGGUAAACGGCGGCCGUAACUAUAACGGUCCUAAGGUAGCGAAAUUCCUUGUCGGGUAAGUUCCGACCUGCACGAAUGGCGUAAUGAUGGCCAGGCUGUCUCCACCCGAGACUCAGUGAAAUUGAACUCGCUGUGAAGAUGCAGUGUACCCGCGGCAAGACGGAAAGACCCCGUGAACCUUUACUAUAGCUUGACACUGAACAUUGAGCCUUGAUGUGUAGGAUAGGUGGGAGGCUUUGAAGUGUGGACGCCAGUCUGCAUGGAGCCGACCUUGAAAUACCACCCUUUAAUGUUUGAUGUUCUAACGUUGACCCGUAAUCCGGGUUGCGGACAGUGUCUGGUGGGUAGUUUGACUGGGGCGGUCUCCUCCUAAAGAGUAACGGAGGAGCACGAAGGUUGGCUAAUCCUGGUCGGACAUCAGGAGGUUAGUGCAAUGGCAUAAGCCAGCUUGACUGCGAGCGUGACGGCGCGAGCAGGUGCGAAAGCAGGUCAUAGUGAUCCGGUGGUUCUGAAUGGAAGGGCCAUCGCUCAACGGAUAAAAGGUACUCCGGGGAUAACAGGCUGAUACCGCCCAAGAGUUCAUAUCGACGGCGGUGUUUGGCACCUCGAUGUCGGCUCAUCACAUCCUGGGGCUGAAGUAGGUCCCAAGGGUAUGGCUGUUCGCCAUUUAAAGUGGUACGCGAGCUGGGUUUAGAACGUCGUGAGACAGUUCGGUCCCUAUCUGCCGUGGGCGCUGGAGAACUGAGGGGGGCUGCUCCUAGUACGAGAGGACCGGAGUGGACGCAUCACUGGUGUUCGGGUUGUCAUGCCAAUGGCACUGCCCGGUAGCUAAAUGCGGAAGAGAUAAGUGCUGAAAGCAUCUAAGCACGAAACUUGCCCCGAGAUGAGUUCUCCCUGACUCCUUGAGAGUCCUGAAGGAACGUUGAAGACGACGACGUUGAUAGGCCGGGUGUGUAAGCGCAGCGAUGCGUUGAGCUAACCGGUACUAAUGAACCGUGAGGCUUAACCUU
Molecule: ribosomal RNA, 2902 nt
Filed under: Escherichia coli 1303
Lineage: Bacteria; Pseudomonadati; Pseudomonadota; Gammaproteobacteria; Enterobacterales; Enterobacteriaceae
Description: bacterial LSU rRNA
Rfam family: Bacterial large subunit ribosomal RNA
Source: RNAcentral